AAUCAACGCUGGCGGCGUGCCUAACACAUGCAAGUCGAACGCGAAAGCCCCGCAAGGGGUCAGUAGAGUGGCAAACGGGUGAGUAACACGUGGGUGACCUGCCUUCGAGUGGGGGAUAACGUCCCGAAAGGGACGCUAAUACCGCAUGACAUCCUGCUUUUGAAAAAGCGGAGAUCAAAGCUGGGGAUCGCAAGACCUAGCGCUUGAAGAGGGGCCCGAGCCUGAUUAGCUAGUUGGUGAGGUAACGGCUCACCAAGGCGACGAGUAGUAUGCGGCCUGCGAGGGCGGACGGACCCACUGGGACUGGGACACGGCCCAGACUCCUACGGGAGGCAGCAGUGGCGAAUUGUUCGCAAUGGGCGCAAGCCUGACGACGCAACGCCGCGUGGAGGACGAAGAUCUUCGGGUCGUAAACUCCUGUCGAGCGGGACGAACGCUUCGCGGAUGAAUAAUCCGCGGAAUUGACGGUACCGCUAAAGGAAGCCCCGGCUAACUCCGUG
This 500-nucleotide ribosomal RNA is filed under the name uncultured bacterium. RNAcentral's name for it is "partial 16S ribosomal RNA". It matches the Rfam family "Bacterial small subunit ribosomal RNA", at positions 29 to 507 of the family's 1533-position model. The record is from RNAcentral.